This 76-nucleotide small nucleolar RNA is filed under the name Drosophila mojavensis. RNAcentral describes it as "snoRNA:GI25317". The record is from RNAcentral. Lineage: Eukaryota; Metazoa; Arthropoda; Insecta; Diptera; Drosophilidae.
UUGAACAUGAUGUGAUUACUUAUCAUCCGUGUUUCAAAUGAACUUUACGUUGAUUAGAACUUGAUAACCUGAUUAU